AUUGAACGCUGGCGGCAUGCCUUACACAUGCAAGUCGAACGGUAACGGGCCUUCGGGUGCUGACGAGUGGCGCACGGGUGAGUAAUACAUCGGAACGUGCCCGAUCGUGGGGGAUAACGAGGCGAAAGCUUUGCUAAUACCGCAUACGAUCUACGGAUGAAAGCAGGGGACCGCAAGGCCUUGCGCGGACGGAGCGGCCGAUGGCAGAUUAGGUAGUUGGUGGGAUAAAAGCUUACCAAGCCGACGAUCUGUAGCUGGUCUGAGAGGAUGAUCAGCCACACUGGGACUGAGACACGGCCCAGACUCCUACGGGAGGCAGCAGUGGGGAAUUUUGGACAAUGGGCGCAAGCCUGAUCCAGCCAUGCCGCGUGCAGGAUGAAGGCCUUCGGGUUGUAAACUGCUUUUGUACGGAACGAAAAGCCUUCUUUUAAUACAGGAGGGUCAUGACGGUACCGUAAGAAUAAGCACCGGCUAACUACGUG
This 482-nucleotide ribosomal RNA is filed under the name uncultured bacterium. RNAcentral's name for it is "partial 16S ribosomal RNA". It matches the Rfam family "Bacterial small subunit ribosomal RNA", at positions 30 to 507 of the family's 1533-position model. The record is from RNAcentral.